This 3941-nucleotide long non-coding RNA is filed under the name Homo sapiens (human). RNAcentral's name for it is "LNC_000199". The record is from RNAcentral. Lineage: Eukaryota; Metazoa; Chordata; Mammalia; Primates; Hominidae.
CAAAAACAAAAACAAAACAACUCAGCUUCUUGUUGCUUUCCUGGCUACUAGAGCAAUAGACAGGGAAAGUCUGAGUGCUCAACUUUGCUCCCUCCAGCUAGAUGCUAGGAAGGGGGUUGAAAACACUGGCUAAAGUUUUGUUUGUAGAUUAUUGAUAUUUUCUUCUCUCUGCCCUUGACCUUGUUUCUGCUAACAUGUAAAUUUGUUUCUAUAGUCUUGGAGUAGCACUUACCCUUUGAUAACACCAGGAUUAUAUCCCCUUCCUGAAACUCCAGGUCCUCUGGUUGGGUAGCCUCAUAACUGAAGAGUGCCUCCACUUGGCUGCCUUUCUUAAGCUGAGGUUCUGUUGUCUGGUUAUUAGCAUCAGCUUUUUCACUUUCCUUGGGUUCAUCUGGAAAGCCUUGGUCACCCACUGUGUUCUCACACCACAGAGUCAGGCAGUAGUUUUUCACCUGGCCCCAGGCAUCCUUCAUGCUGUCUUCUGAAAGGGGCACCAGCUCAUUGCUGUCCCGAGGCCGAUAGCUCAGCUUAGUGUGUUCCAGCCGGAGCUCCAGUUUCUUAGACACCAUGUCCCGGACCUGGCUGUAGGGGAGCCCGGGCUGAGUCUUCAUGACUACCGUGUACUUGUAGUGCACCUUGAGUGUGUAGGGCAUGGGAACACUGAGCUUCACUUCCUGAGUGGGGAGGAAACAAAGGGAACUCCUGAGUGUCUGAGGCUUUCUCUCAACAUCCUGGAUCACCGCAGUUUCGUGAUUUGGCACAGGGGGUACCCAAUACAGCAGGGGAGAGGCCAGUAAGUAACUGGUUUCACAGUAGCCUAAAAGGCCUUCAGAGGUCCUUUAGCCCAACCCUUGCUUGGACAGGAAUUCCUACUGAGUAAGAUCUGGCCCACUAGCUUGGGUAGUAGGAAGUGUGUGCAUGAUAGUGGAGGAGGCUAUUAAGAAGGUCCCUAGCUCAUGGACUCUGUAAGGUAGCAACUGGUUCGACCCUCCCUUUGGGGCUCUUCCUAUAAUCCAGACAGACAUGUCUGUGGUUGAUAGCCCAAGCUAUCCCAUCUUCUACCACUUGAAACAGUAUGAGGGAAAAAUGUUACCUUAGGCUCUUCUUUUUGUUUCUGGCCUGAAUGGAAAAAGUAGGGAGUAAAACAAAAGAAGAUGGUGAAUGAACAUCCUUGGCCAGCCCCUGCCACACACAGAUGAAACCUCUUCAAAUAGGGCCCCCAACCUCUUACCCUUUAAUUUGUGGGGCAAUUAUUAACCUUAGUAAACUGUGGGGAAAAUCUCGCCCUGGGGAAGCAUGAAGGUCAUGAACACAUGAACAAACUCAGUCUCUGCUUCUAGGGAGCCUAUAGGUAAUUACCAAAGGACCAGCAUAUCCUCACCAACCCACAAGGUUAGCAGGGAUCCCAAAGGUCAAUUAAGCCCACGGGAUCCAAAGCAAUGAAAAUCGGAGUGCAAGGUGAGCCAGAGGCCACAGGAAGAAGUAUUAGAACCACUGAUCCUCACCUUAUUCUUUAUUUUUGUGUAUGUUUCCUAAAGUUUAUUAAUUUAAUCUAAUCUAUUAAUCAAGCAAUCUAAUAUUAAUCUAAUUUAUGUAAGAGUAGCAUGCAUAAAGAUAUUUACUAUAGGGGGUACAUGAUCAGAGAAGGCCACUGAUCUCAAACCUAGCUGAUCAUUAGAAUCACAUGGGAAGUUUUUUUCUAAAAUACAAAUUCCCGAGCCCCAUUCCAGUCCUAAAAUAUCAGAGCCAGUAGCCUAGGACUCUGUAUUCACAAAAUCAUCCUAGGUUUAUAUGUGAUCCUUGAUGAGCCUCUAGACAAAAGAUAACAACAAAAAACCUGUCAAGGACAUUGAGCAGGAGCAACGGGAGAAAUUUGAAUAUGGAAUAUACAUUAUAUAAUACUAUCAUAUGAAUGUUUAGUGUCCUAGAUACCAUGAUUCUAUUGUGAUUAUGCAGGAGACUGCGUUUUUGCAGCUGUGUAGGGUGAAGUGUCACGAGUCUGUAACUUUUCAACUGGCUCGGGGGAGAAAAAUAGAAUGGAGCAGGGCGAGUUCAUGGUGCAAAAUGUUAACAAUUGGUGAGUUUAAGUGAAAGAUAUUCUGAUGUUUAUUGUAUUCUACUGUCAGCUUUUCUGUAGGUUGGACAUUUUUCAAAAUAAAAAUGGGGGAAGGGACAUCCCGAGUGAUUCUGAUGAUCAGGCGCGUGUGGCAAUCAUUGAUCUAGAAUCUGGCCAACCACUCACUCUGCGUCUCUACCAAGCGCUUAUCCAGAAUCUGCUUCAAGUGCACUUCCCAAGACAGCCCUCUCCACACUAGGAAACAGCCUUUCAGAGAGAACAUUUCCAUUUCACAUCUGCCCAUUGGUUCUUUGUUCAUCCUCAGGGCUCCACAGAGCAAUUUCUUUUCCAGAUACAGUGCCUCAGACAUUUGAAAACAGCCACUCCAUGCCCCUCAGAGAUAAGCAGGUAUAGUUACUUCAACUUUUCUUCCUGAGACAUCGUUUCCCUACCUAAUGAUCAAGGGGUUUGGUGACUACGUGAGUCACUCAGGAACCAGCUGCAUUCACCCAAGCCCCGUGAGUGUUCUGCAGAAGGCAGGGAGAGAGGGCACUGAUUUCAUGUUUGGGGUGGGUGGUGCAGGAAAGGGGGAUUCUGGGGCUGCGUGGUCAUUAGCUGAGUGACAUGUUGGGAGAAGAAGAAACCAGAAUUUCCUGGAAGGCAGGGAGAGGAACUCAGGAAGCAGCCUGGCAUGCUGCUGCACCCAGACCUAGGCUGUGGCUCCAGGACCACUCACCUGGUGACAGCUGGGGUCUUCCAGGGGCUUUGGAACUAGGAGGAGCUGGGAUGUCGGACUGCGGAGAGCUUUCCUCCUGGGGCUGCUGCUGAGGGUGGAUCCGCAGCUCAACUGGUUCAAGGUAGUUGCAGGGAACAAGCCCCUUCUGCCCGUUGAACAUGACCGUGGCCCAGUUAUCAUUGCCCUUCUUCAAGACAAAGACAAUGUUCCCUGGCAUGACCUGGAGCUCUUCUUUUGUCUCAGGCACAAACCCAAAUAGCACACGGUGAGCCUCCCCUUCCAGAGCCCUGCAGAGGAUAGACACAAGAUCCAGCCCCCAUCCCCUCACAUGAUGCCAUGGCGCAAAUACACUGAACUUGGAGCCAGGGACUUGGCUCCAGCCUGGCUCUAACUCCACAUCUAACUGCAACUGCCGAGAUGACACUGAGCCUGCCUGGGCUCCCAAGAGGUCUCAGCAAGAAACUGGUGUACACCUGCUCAUAACCAUAUAUGCAGAGGGGCAAGAAUAAAGCAAAAACCCCACAACACUAGAUAGUGAGGACUUACAAUCCUUGCCCUCCCUUCUGCUCUGAGGAGGAAGGUCCCUGGCUGUGUCAUCUUGGCCAGCACCCAAGGCUGGGCUGGGGUGGGGUGGAUCAGGUGACUGUGGUCAGGGGAACAGCACAAAGCAGAAGUCAGGUGAGAGCCAGCUGGGCCAGAAAGAUUGGUGGGAGAGGAGGAAGGAGAAACCACCUAGAACCAGUGUUGGGCCAGGAUAGAGAGACCGUGAGCAGGGUAGGUGACAGGGAGCGUGAGGGAUGCACAUAGAGGGCUCUGAGGCUGCCCAGCUGCCGUGGUGCAGUGUCGGUUCCCUUAAGUCUGACUUCAUGCUUUUAGGCUUUGAGGCUCUGAUUGGCAUCACUUUGGAACGUGUGACUGAGAGGCUGGUGUUCAGGUUUCAGGCUUCCCUCCCUUUACUCCCCACUCUGUUACUUUCCCCUCGGCCCAUCCUUGUUUCCAGACAUCGUGCCUACUCCUGUAGGGAAUACAGGCCCUUCCAGCUGACAGGGAGCUUAGGAAUGAGCUCAUCCAGCCCCCUCAUUUUUGUAGUUGCUUUGGUACUUUUGUCACUUUUUUUUUUUUGAGACGGAAUCUUGGUCUGUUGCCCAG